AUACGGAGGAUCCGAGCGUUAUCCGGAUUUAUUGGGUUUAAAGGGAGCGUAGGUGGAUUGUUAGGUCAGUUGUGAAAGUUUGCGGCUCAACCGUAAAAUUGCAGUUGAAACUGGCAGUCUUGAGUACAGUAGAGGUGGGCGGAAUUCGUGGUGUAGCGGUGAAAUGCAUAGAUAUGACGAAGAACACCGAUUGCGUAGGCAGCUGACCAGACCGCAAAUGACGCUCAUGCACGAAAGUGCGGGGAUCGAACAGGAUUAGAUACCCUGGUAGUCCGCACAGUAAACGAUGAAUACUUGUUUUCGGCGAUAUAAUGUCGGAGGCAAAGCGAAAGCGAUAAGUAUUCCACCUGGGGAGUACGCCGGCAACGGUGAAACUCAAAGGAAUUGGCGGGG
RNAcentral lists this ribosomal RNA (393 nucleotides) under uncultured bacterium. RNAcentral's name for it is "partial 16S ribosomal RNA". It matches the Rfam family "Bacterial small subunit ribosomal RNA", at positions 523 to 918 of the family's 1533-position model. The record is from RNAcentral.